This 75-nucleotide transfer RNA is filed under the name Streptomyces sp. WM6372. RNAcentral describes it as "tRNA-Cys". It matches the Rfam family "tRNA". Rfam says of the family: Transfer RNA (tRNA) molecules are approximately 80 nucleotides in length. The record is from RNAcentral. Lineage: Bacteria; Bacillati; Actinomycetota; Actinomycetes; Kitasatosporales; Streptomycetaceae.
GGGGCAGGUAGCGCAGAGGUCGACGCGCCCCCUGCAAGGGGGAUGACGCCGGUUCGAAUCCGGUCCGCCCCACCG